RNAcentral lists this ribosomal RNA (497 nucleotides) under uncultured bacterium. RNAcentral describes it as "partial 16S ribosomal RNA". It matches the Rfam family "Bacterial small subunit ribosomal RNA", at positions 28 to 507 of the family's 1533-position model. The record is from RNAcentral.
GAUGAACGCUGGCGGCGUGCCUAAUACAUGCAAGUCGAGCGAACAGACCAGGAGCUUGCUCCUCUGACGUUAGCGGCGGACGGGUGAGUAACACGUGGAUAACCUACCUAUAAGACUGGGAUAACUUCGGGAAACCGGAGCUAAUACCGGAUAAUAUAUUGAACCGCAUGGUUCAAUAGUGAAAGACGGUUUUGCUGUCACUUAUAGAUGGAUCCGCGCCGCAUUAGCUAGUUGGUAAGGUAACGGCUUACCAAGGCGACGAUGCGUAGCCGACCUGAGAGGGUGAUCGGCCACACUGGAACUGAGACACGGUCCAGACUCCUACGGGAGGCAGCAGUAGGGAAUCUUCCGCAAUGGGCGAAAGCCUGACGGAGCAACGCCGCGUGAGUGAUGAAGGUCUUCGGAUCGUAAAACUCUGUUAUUAGGGAAGAACAAAUGUGUAAGUAACUAUGCACGUCUUGACGGUACCUAAUCAGAAAGCCACGGCUAACUACGUG